GAUUACACGGCGAUGCGAUUUCGGUCAAAUCAAGUGCAAUCUUAGUGGCGGACGGGUGAGUAACGCGUGGGUAACCUGCCUUGCACUGGGGGAUAACACUUAGAAAUAGGUGCUAAUACCGCAUAAGCGCACGGUCCUGCAUGGGACAGUGUGAAAAACUCCGGUGGUGCAAGAUGGACCCGCGUCUGAUUAGCUGGUUGGCGGGGUAAAGGCCCACCAAGGCGACGAUCAGUAGCCGGCCUGAGAGGGUGGACGGCCACAUUGGGACUGAGACACGGCCCAAACUCCUACGGGAGGCAGCAGUGGGGGAUAUUGGACAAUGGGGGGAACCCUGAUCCAGCGACGCCGCGUGAGUGAAGAAGUAUUUCGGUAUGUAAAGCUCUGUCAGCAGGGAAGAAAGCAAUGACGGUACCUGACCAAGAAGCCCCCGCUAACUACGUGCCAGCAGCCGCGGUAAUACGUAGGGGGCAAGCGUUAUCCGGAAUUACUGGGUGUAAAGGGAGCGUAGACGGCUGUGCAAGUCUGGAGUGAAAGGCGGGGGCCCAACCCCCGGACUGCUCUGGAAACUGUAUGGCUGGAGUGCAGGAGAGGUAAGCGGAAUUCCUAGUGUAGCGGUGAAAUGCGUAGAUAUUAGGAGGAACACCAGUGGCGAAGGCGGCUUACUGGACUGUAACUGACGUUGAGGCUCGAAAGCGUGGGGAGCAAACAGGAUUAGAUACCCUGGUAGUCCACGCCG
This 736-nucleotide ribosomal RNA is filed under the name uncultured bacterium. RNAcentral's name for it is "bacterial SSU rRNA". It matches the Rfam family "Bacterial small subunit ribosomal RNA", at positions 47 to 802 of the family's 1533-position model. The record is from RNAcentral.